AUAUUUACCUGGCAAGGGAGAUAUCAUGAUCAUGAAGUUUGUUUUCCCAGGGCGAGGCUUAUCCAUUGCAGUCCGAAUAAAGUCACUCCUGCUAUUCCCCCAAAUGUGGGAAACUCGACUGCAUAAUGUGUGGUAGUGGGGACUGCGUUCGCACUUACCCCUA
This 163-nucleotide small nuclear RNA is filed under the name Dasypus novemcinctus (nine-banded armadillo). Its description in RNAcentral is "U1 spliceosomal RNA (ENSDNOG00000037830.1)". It matches the Rfam family "U1 spliceosomal RNA". From Rfam's summary of the family: U1 is a small nuclear RNA (snRNA) component of the spliceosome (involved in pre-mRNA splicing). Lineage: Eukaryota; Metazoa; Chordata; Mammalia; Cingulata; Dasypodidae. The record is from RNAcentral.